Molecule: unclassified non-coding RNA, 1811 nt
Filed under: Limulus polyphemus (Atlantic horseshoe crab)
Lineage: Eukaryota; Metazoa; Arthropoda; Merostomata; Xiphosura; Limulidae
Description: palmitoyltransferase ZDHHC2-like, transcript variant X4
Source: RNAcentral
UCCAUCAACUUCUAACGUCAGAAAAAUACUCAAGCCUUCGGUUUAGUUAAGCCUGAAUUCGUACCUGCCCAAGGGCUAGGUGUGCUUUAAUAAUUAUGAAGGAAGAAUCAAGGUGUUCAUUUUGUGUGAAGCUCUUUAAAUGGUUUCCAGUCUUGUUUAUAACUGCUGUCAUUGGUUGGUCAUAUUACUCCUAUGUUAUUCAGCUGUGCUUCCUAACUGUGGAGGAUAUGGAUGAGAAAGUUUGUUAUCUCAUAACCUAUCAUCCAUUACUUGUAUUGUUCCUGUGGUCCUACUGGCAAACAAUAUUUACAGAUGUAUAUUCCAUUCCAAAACAGUUUAAAAUACCAGCUGCUGAAUUUGAGAAACUCCAAAAAGAACCAAAUGAAGAAAAUCAGCGUCGUCUUCUUGAACAGUUGUCAACAGACCUCCCUGUUUUGUGCCGUACUUUUAGUGGUGCAAUUAGAGUCUGUGAAAAAUGCCGUAUGAUCAAGCCUGAUAGAGCCCACCAUUGUUCUGUUUGUGGCAAGUGUGUAUUGAAAAUGGAUCAUCACUGCCCUUGGGUAAACAACUGUGUGUCUUUUUCCAACUACAAGUUUUUUAUCCUUUUCCUUGGAUAUGCUCUUGUUUAUUGCGUUUUUAUAAGUUUGACAACUUUGCAGUACUUCAUAAAAUUCUGGACUAACAACUUGAAAGGAUAUGGGAAGUUCCACAUUCUAUUCUUGUUUUUUGUAGCAGUUAUGUUUGCUAUCAGUCUCGUAUCUCUGUUUGGAUUUCACUGUUAUCUCAUAAUUGCAAACAGAUCAACACUAGAGUCUUUCAGACCACCAGUUUUUAGGAUGGGUCCAGAUAAAAAUGGUUUUAGUAUAGGAAGAUAUCAGAACUUCAUUCAGGUGUUUGGAAAUGAUAAGGUGAAAUGGUUUCUUCCUGUUCAUACCAGCUUAGGUGAUGGGGUGGCUUUUCCACAAAGACCAAGAGAUGAAGAUACAGACAGUCUCCUUAAUCCACGUCAACACCAUUGUGAAGAGGUGGGGGAUGAGGAGGACCUUUCAUCUCCAGAACAAACAUCUGAUGUUGAGCAUUUUGGAUGUAUGAUGUCAUGAACAUAGCCAUAUCUACAGUCAGAGUCAGAAAAAUAUUCUUUAGACUUGAUGGUAUAUGAACUUUUGCAACUAUCAUCCCAUAUUUGUAUUUUUGGGGAGGGAGAAGGAGGGUCCACGACAUUUGGACUCGUAGAAAACCACCAGGCUCCCCUCAAUUUUCUUCAGAAUAGUUUUAUUUCAUCAGGAGUUACUGUACUGUGUUGAAGAAAGUACAGUCAUGAAAAAAAAUGUACUGGAAUCUGCAACAUUUAUGGGGAAACUCGAGAGAACAUAGGAUUGAUCAAGAACUUUUCCUCAAGAUGAAAAAAAAAUGUUUAGCAAUACAAUACAAAUAGUUUUUGAUAAUGUGGCUUGGAAAUAAUAGGUAAUUAUAAAAUGUUAUAAAGUGUUAGUAUUUGAAGAGUUGUUGAUGAGAAGUUUACCUGUACUCAAUCUAAUCUCUUUGUAUUGUUUUUUAAUAUCUUCUUAAAGGCUAUUUUCAUGUAAAUAGUACUUUUACUCUGUGUACUAGCAAAAGUUCAUUAAGAUCAGUUUCACUUUUACAUUGCUCUUAAGUACUUUAAAAAGUGGUACCAUUUGUGAACUGUUUGGAGACAAGUUAUUCAGCUUUGGAAUGUAAAUAGCAAUUCAAGAAAAUAUCUUGCAUAUAACUGGAAAUAAUUUGUGAUUCUGAUGUUGCUGAUUUGUGAUAUAUUAAAGUGGUAUAUUAAA